RNAcentral lists this ribosomal RNA (530 nucleotides) under uncultured bacterium. RNAcentral describes it as "bacterial SSU rRNA". It matches the Rfam family "Bacterial small subunit ribosomal RNA", at positions 980 to 1509 of the family's 1533-position model. The record is from RNAcentral.
CUUGACAUCCAGAGAAUUUAGCAGAGAUGCUUUAGUGCCUUCGGGAACUCUGAGACAGGUGCUGCAUGGCUGUCGUCAGCUCGUGUUGUGAAAUGUUGGGUUAACGUCCGCAACGAGCGCAACCCUUAUCCUUUGUUGCCAGCACGUAAUGGUGGGAACUCAAAGGAGACUGCCGGUGAUAAACCGGAGGAAGGUGGGGAUGACGUCAAGUCAUCAUGGCCCUUACGAGUAGGGCUACACACGUGCUACAAUGGCGUAUACAAAGAGAAGCGACCUCGCGAGAGCAAGCGGACCUCAUAAAGUGCGUCGUAGUCCGGAUUGGAGUCUGCAACUCGACUCCAUGAAGUCGGAAUCGCUAGUAAUCGUAAAUCAGAAUGUUACGGUGAAUACGUUCCCGGGCCUUGUACACACCGCCCGUCACACCAUGGGAGUGGGUUGCAAAAGAAGUAGAUAGCUUAACCUUCGGGAGGGCGUUUACCACUUUGUGAUUCAUGACUGGGGUGAAGUCGUAACAAGGUAAGCGUAGUGCU